This 253-nucleotide ribosomal RNA is filed under the name uncultured bacterium. Its description in RNAcentral is "partial 16S ribosomal RNA". It matches the Rfam family "Bacterial small subunit ribosomal RNA", at positions 524 to 776 of the family's 1533-position model. The record is from RNAcentral.
UACGGAGGGUGCAAGCGUUAUCCGGAUUCACUGGGUUUAAAGGGCUCGUAGGUGGCCAACUAAGUCAGACGUGAAAUCCCUCAGCUUAACUGGGGAACUGCGUCUGAUACUGGAUGGCUUGAGUUUGGGAGAGGGAUGCGGAAUUCCAGGUGUAGCGGUGAAAUGCGUAGAUAUCUGGAGGAACACCGGUGGCGAAGGCGGCAUCCUGGACCAACACUGACACUGAUGAGCGAAAGCCAGGGGAGCAAACGGG